RNAcentral lists this long non-coding RNA (2537 nucleotides) under Amborella trichopoda. RNAcentral describes it as "long non-coding RNA (ATRI_LNC000536)". The record is from RNAcentral. Lineage: Eukaryota; Viridiplantae; Streptophyta; Magnoliopsida; Amborellales; Amborellaceae.
UACUUGUUUUUAUUAUUGUUGAUGAGCUUCAUCUUCAUUGAGUUUGCUUGUAAUUCAACAAGCAUGAAUGCAACUUAUCAUCGAGGCGGAUCUCUUUAUGUUUUUUGAUAUUUGAGAUCUUGAACUUGAAAGCUUGAUUUGCUUAAUGGUUCUUUCUUCUGUAGUAUAGUACUGCUCUUGCCUCUGUCAUGCAAAUACGGAGUAAAUUUUCUAGAGCCUUACUUGUGGUUUACAAUUUUAUUAAGUCACUUUUUCUUAACACGUACACAUACACACACACAACACACACUACACACACACACACACACAUACACACACACAAACUAAAACUCACACUCACACACACACUCACACAUUCACACUCACACUCGCUCUCACACUCACAAUGUACAUAUAAACGACAUGUAUAUACUGAUAUAUUCAGUGUGCAUAUAAAGGAUAUGUGCAUAUAAAGGAUAUGUAUAGAUUGAUAUGUUUAUACAUGUAUAUAUAAACUUGCUAUUAGUUAUAUGUACACUGAUAUGCGACGCAUAUGCACCUUUACGCAUUGAUAGUGCAUACAUACAUUUCUAUAUACACUGAUAUAUAUGUCCAUAUAGAAAUUUAUUAUUUGUUUAUACAGUAAUGAGUGUAUAUGUACACUGAAAUAUAUAUACGCACACUCAUCUGCAUAUUUAUAAAGGGUUUAUAUAUACACUAAUGUAUAUGAUCAUGUAUGUACUUAUUAUCUGUGAUGUAUACAGUUAUUAGCUCAAUUUGUGUAUAUAUAUGUAUAGCAAUAUAUAUCAUUGUUUUCAGUGCAUAUAUAUUGAUGUGUAUAAAGCAUACAAUACAUUAGUUAUCUGUAAUAUAUAGUUAUUAGUGUGUAAAAAAUACAUUGAUAUGUGUGUGUGUGAUAUCUGUAUAUAUACGAUGUGUAUAUAUUUGAUAUGUGUGUAUGUGUAAAGUGCAUAAAGUUUUAUAUACAGUACAUUAAUGUAUAAAUUUUUUUAUACAUUGAUAUAUAUGAUCAUAUAUACACUUAUUAUCAGUUUAUGCAGCUAUUAACGCAUAUAUACACUGAUUUAUAUACUACACACGCAUUCACACUCACACUCACACUCACAUAUAUAUAUACUACACAUGUGUGCGUGUUGUGUGUGGAUACAAUUGCUUGCUAUCUGUUAUAUACAUUGAUAUGCGCACUCACAUGCACCCUUACGCGUUGAUAAGUGGAUAUAUACUGUGUAUGUAAACAGUGUGUAUAUAUACGAUUUGUAUAUACUGAUAUGUUUCUGCAUGUAUGUAUAAACUUGCUAUCAAUUAUAUAUAUACUGAUAUGUGUACGCACAUGCACCCUUAAGCAUUGAUAUUGCAUAUAUACAUUUACAUUUUUAAAUACACUGAUAUAUGUGGCUAUAUUGAUACUUUUUACUAGUUGAUACAGUUUUUAAUGUAGAUGUAUGUUGAUAUGUUUAUGAAUGCACAAAUGGAUGUUGAAGCCAAUAAGGUAAAUAAACUGAUCCCCCUCCCUCCCCCCUUCGCCCUUUUUUAUUAUUUUCCUCUCAAUUCUUACCCUUCGAAUCAUUAUCGUCCCUGUGUAUGAUUUUUCCUUCCCUAUGUAAUUUUCUAAACUAUGAUAAAAUCAGGCAUUAAAGAUGGUGAUUAAUUCUUCUGGCUAUCACCUCUAAUCAGAUAAACCUAGGCAAAAUUCCAUAUUAAUUUGUAUAGAAUUAAGCGCAAGAAUGGGUUUCUUCUCUUGAUGAAUUGGGUAGGCUAAAAUACCCAAUUGUAGUAGUCCAUUUAUUUAUUUUUUCUUAUUUGUACUUGUUUUUAUUAUCAUUGAUGUGCUUCAUCUCUAUCGAAUUUACGUGUAAAUCGGCAAAUAUGAAAGUAACUUAUCAUCAAGGCGGAUCUCUUUACGUUAUUCGAUAUUUGAGAUCUUGAUCUUGCAAGCUUGAUUUGCUUAAUGGUUCUUUCUUCUCUGGUAUAAUACUUACUGCUCUUGCUUCUUUCAUGCAAAUAUGGAGUGAAUUUUCAGGAGCUUUACUUGUGGUUUGUAAUUUUAUCAAGUAACUUUUUCUUGACACACACACACUCUUGCUUCUUUCAUGCAAAUAUAGAGUGAAUUUUUUGGAGCUUUACUUGUGGUUUGUAAUUUUAUUGGCUUUUUUUUAACAUACGCACACCCACAACACACACACACACUCACAUUCACACUCACACUCACACUCACACACAUACACACACUCACUUAUACACUCACACUCACACUCACACACUGACACUCACAUUCACACUCACAUACAUACACUCACUCACACUCACACUCACACUUACACUCACACACUGACACUCACAUUCACAUUCAUUGAUAUAUACUACACAUGUUUGCGUGUUGUAUAUGGACUGAUGUCUAUAUAUAUACGAUAUGUAUAUAUUGAUAUAUUUAUGGGUGUAUAUAUACAGUUUCUUGCUAUCAAUUAUAUACAAUAAUCAUUGUAUACCCCUAUGCGUUGAUAAGUGUAUAUAUACUGUCUAUGAUGCAUUCUAUAUAC